AAUCACUUGUCUUUUAAAUGGAGACCUGUAUGAAUGNNAUAACGAGGGCUUAGCUGUCUCCUUUUUCAAGUCAAUGAAAUUGAUCUCCCCGUGCAGAAGCGGGGAUACNNACAUAAGACGAGAAGACCCUAUGAAGCUUUAGACACCAAAGCAGCCCAAGUAAACACCCCCUCAUAAGGGACUAAACCAUGUGAAUCCUGCCCUAAUGUCUUUGGUUGGGGCGACCGCGGGGGAUAAAAAGCCCCCAUGUGGAAUGAGAUUAAUUCUCUUAAAACUAAGAGCUACCGCUCUAAGAAACAGAACUUCUGACCUAAAGAUCCGGCAAUGCCGAUCAGCGGACCGAGUUACUCUNGGGAUAACAGCGCAAUCCUCUUUUAGAGCCCA
RNAcentral lists this ribosomal RNA (384 nucleotides) under Capros aper (boarfish). Its description in RNAcentral is "partial 16S ribosomal RNA". It matches the Rfam family "Bacterial large subunit ribosomal RNA", at positions 1963 to 2502 of the family's 2925-position model. Lineage: Eukaryota; Metazoa; Chordata; Actinopteri; Caproiformes; Caproidae. The record is from RNAcentral.